CCAAUAGCGUAUAUUAAAGUUGUUGCAGUUAAAAAGCUCGUAGUCGAAUUUUGGAUCUGACCAAAUGGUCCGCCUUUGGUGAGUACUUUUUGUGUCGGGUCUAUCCUUCUGGUGAGCUGGUAUGCCCUUUACUGGGUGUGUCAGGGAACCAGGACCAUUACCUUGAAAAAAUUAGAGUGUUUAAAGCGGGCAUUAGCUUGAAUAGAUUAGCAUGGAAUAAUAGAAUAGGACGUUGUGGUUCUAUUUUGUUGGUUCUAGGACCACCGUAAUGAUUAAUAGGGAUAGUUGGGGGCAUUAGUAUUCAAUUGUCAGAGGUGAAAUUCUUGGAUUUAUUGAAGACUAACUACUGCGAAAGCAUUUGCCAAGGAUGUUUUCAUUAAUCAAGAACGAAAGUUAGGGGAUCGAAGACGAUCAGAUACCGUCGUAGUCUUAACCAUAAACUAUGCCGACUAGGAAUCGGGCGAAGUUAUUUUAAUGACUCGCUCGGCGCCUUAUG
RNAcentral lists this ribosomal RNA (496 nucleotides) under uncultured Glomeromycotina. Its description in RNAcentral is "partial small subunit ribosomal RNA". It matches the Rfam family "Eukaryotic small subunit ribosomal RNA", at positions 591 to 1092 of the family's 1831-position model. The record is from RNAcentral. Lineage: Eukaryota; Fungi; Glomeromycota.